CAGGGCUCAUAUCCUCUGCUUUGUACAAUUGUCACAAGGUGGGGAUUGGGCUGAUUUGCUGUUAAUUUCAACAUUCUCCAACUGCUCAACAUGAGCAGCAGGACACCCAGACCUCAGGUCCACUAGUGUUAACCUGAGGCCUUCCCAAUCUGCUCCCCUCAGUCUGGAACAUGGGCACCAGACAUUGCUGAGUGCUUCUCCCUUUGAUUGUCCUUUAGAAAGACGUGGUUUUAUUUUGUUCCUGCAAAGCUGAGGUGUAGAGGGUCACAACUGCCUUCACCUUCUCUUUUUACAACAGCAUGUCUUUAUUUCUCCAUAUCUCAAGUCAAAAUCUUCAUCAUUUUUUGCUGUUACUUCUCUGAACAUUUUCUUCCUCUUUGUCAGUUUAUUCAAUGGGGUAAAGUUGCUUUUAGGAUCAACAUUGCCUCUUUUGGAGGACACAUUUAGGUAUAAACUGCAGUACAAGAAGCCAAGGACAGAAGAACUGGCUUAUACAUAUUCCUCCUUUGCUGUGGCUGUGUCACUCAACAGUGAUCAAAAAUUGAAUGUGUUUCUCUCAGCGGUGUGCCAAGAUGGACUGAUUUGGUCCGGAGAUGAAGAAGGAGGUGUGGAGUACAUGACCAUUGCCACCAAGAUCGGUGCUGUCCAACCAUUGGGAGGAAGUCUGAGAUGUCAGGAAUCUGGUUGCCUUCGUCUUCCUUCUCAUCCUGUGACACUGAAGCUCCUGCAGUUUCCUGCAGGCUGCUCUUUCUGCUUCAUCUUUCUCUUCUAUAGGAGGGAAAGGAUGUUUUCUAGCUGCGAGGAGGUUUCAAGGGUUGAUGUCUCUGAAGACUUCUUCAGUGGAAAGCUCUUGUCAUUUGCAAUACAGCUUCAUCGUGGUGCUAAAGUGGGCAAAAAGGUUUCUGCAGAGGAUGUUGUGUGUGACAUCUGUUGCUUAGACUUCAAGGCAUUUGCGGAGAUGAAGUAAGCAUAAUAUUAACUGACUAGAAAGCAAAUCCCUUCUCUUUAAAGUUCUUGUUAAAUGCAAGCUACAGAGGAAAAGGAAUGGAAGGCAUCAAUCCAGGUCAUUUACUGUUACCCCCAAGGAACAGAUUCAUUGUCUAUUUUCAAUGGAUUGUUUUACAGCUAUUAGAAAGCAUUCUUGGCUUCUUGGGGAGGGGGGAAUGUACCCCAGUUGCCAUUAAUUAUUAAUAACUGCUGGCAUAUUUAAUGAGUUCAAAAAAUGAUCUGUUCAUUCAUAAUAACCUCUUCUGCCUGUCGCCUUCCAGAUCCU
Molecule: long non-coding RNA, 1273 nt
Filed under: Anser brachyrhynchus (Pink-footed goose)
Lineage: Eukaryota; Metazoa; Chordata; Aves; Anseriformes; Anatidae
Description: lncRNA (ENSABRG00000004247.1)
Source: RNAcentral